RNAcentral lists this ribosomal RNA (371 nucleotides) under uncultured organism. Its description in RNAcentral is "partial 16S ribosomal RNA". It matches the Rfam family "Bacterial small subunit ribosomal RNA", at positions 529 to 896 of the family's 1533-position model. The record is from RNAcentral.
GGGGGGCAAGCGUUGUUCGGAAUUACUGGGCGUAAAGGGCGCGCAGGCGGUUUCGUCAGUCAUGGGUGAAAGCCCCGGGCUCAACCCGGGAAUGGCCUGUGAAACCACGGAACUGGAGUGCUGGAGAGGGAAGCGGAAUUCCCAGUGUAGCGGUGAAAUGCGUAGAUAUUGGGAGGAACAUCGGUGGCGAAGGCGGCUUCCUGGACAGACACUGACGCUGAGGCGCGAAAGCCAGGGGAGCGAACGGGAUUAGAUACCCCGGGUAGUCCUGGCUGUAAACGAUGAAUACUUGGUGUAGGGGGUAGGAAAGUCCCCUCUGUGCCGAAGAGAACUCGAUAAGUAUUCCGCCCGGGAGUACGGCCGCAAGGCUG